RNAcentral lists this ribosomal RNA (512 nucleotides) under uncultured archaeon. RNAcentral's name for it is "bacterial SSU rRNA". It matches the Rfam family "Archaeal small subunit ribosomal RNA", at positions 345 to 859 of the family's 1478-position model. The record is from RNAcentral.
AACCUUCGCAAUGUGCGAAAGCACGACGAGGUUAUUCCGAGUGAUUUCCGCUGAGGAAAUCUUUUCUCAGAUCUAAAAAGUCUGGGGAAUAAGGGGAGGGCAAGUCUGGUGUCAGCCGCCGCGGUAAUACCAGCUCCCCGAGUGGUCAGGGCGUUUAUUGGGCCUAAAGCAUCCGUAGCCGGCUUAGUAGGUCUUCUGUUAAAUCCAACGGCUCAACCGUUGGUCUGCAGGAGAUACCGCUGGGCUAGGAGGCGGGAGAGGCGGACGGUACUCCGAGGGUAGGGGUAAAAUCCUUUGAUCCCCGGAAGACCACCUUCCCACCAUUCGGUCCACCAGAACGCGCUCGACGGUGAGGGAUGAAAGCUGGGGGAGCGAACCGGAUUAGAUACCCGGGUAGUCCCAGCCGUAAACGAUGCGAGCUAGGUGACACUACGCCUUCGGGGCGUAGUGGUGCCGCAGGGAAGCCGUUAAGCUCGCCGCCUGGGGAGUACGGACGCAAGUCUGAAACUUAA